Long non-coding RNA from Cercocebus atys (sooty mangabey), 1113 nucleotides. RefSeq lists it as uncharacterized. The record is from RefSeq and is a predicted model, not a curated record. NCBI's taxonomy places the organism in Eukaryota, Metazoa, Chordata, Mammalia, Primates, Cercopithecidae. The transcript has 2 exons.
GCCCACGGGCGGAGCGCCCACCCGAGCCGGGGAGCGCGUCUCGGCCCGUCGACUCUGAACAGUAUGGGGUGUGGAGCUUCUGGUUCCCAUUUUGUAGAUGUGGAAAUUGAGACGCAGAAGUUAACGUGCACAAGGUAACAGUGAAAAUGAAGGCUGAAGAUACUUUUGUGGAGUGACUUUGCAGCCACAGAACAGACAAACUUAGAUUUAUAGUUUUGAUUUAAUGUACAGGGGACUGUCUGUUUGAGGGGCUCCUGUCCUCAACUUGAUUUGUUCAAAGUUCUGACAGUGACUUAUUUGAAGGUAAAGCAUGGUACUCCAAGCUGGUAGCAGCAACUUGGGUCUGUGUCUUCCUUGACCUAUAAGAUGGAAGUUAUGCUUCUGUCUUUCAACAGAAGUAUAUCCCAGAAAAGUUUGAGAAGCACUAAUAUAGUGCACAGAACACUUGCAUUGACAUCUUGUGCAGUCACCAGCCUAGGUGAUACUGGCCAAUUAACUUUUUUCAACCAUAGUGUCCUCUUCUGUAAAAUUAGAAUAACUAGUAAUUGGUGUAGACAUAAGCGCUGAAAACAGAGGCAAAGAAACUAGUUCAAAGGAACAGGCCCAAGAGAGAUAGUAGGACAGCUAAUUCAUGUAAUCUAAUGAGUUUGAGUAAAAUGCACUUGGGAGAAUUAUUGUGGAAGAGACUGGGAAGGUAGGUAGGGGCUAGGUCAUAUUCCAAGUUCAAAGGAAUUUGGACCCAAUCCAUAGUUUACUACUAGAAUACUAAAAGAAGGCCAGAUUUAGCUGACUUUUCUUGAGGCUUCAAUAAGCCAUACUUUGGGCUGUGGGCAUUUGGAGGUAGAUAGGGACUAGUUAGAGGCUGUUAGAACAGGCCAUGUGAGAGAUGAGGACCAGGACUCAAGCGGUGGGGAAGUUUUGCUGAGCUUGUUUUACUAGCUAACAUUUGCAUAGCCCUUUGCAAGCCACAAAAAUUUAAUUAAACUUCUUAAUGACAUUAUUAAUUUUAUCUUCACAACAAUAAAGGAGGUUAAGUACUACAGCCUCUAUUUUUCAGAUAAAGGCUUGGAGAGGCUAAAUAAUUUGCCAAAGAUUGCCCAGCUAGAAAAAAAA